Molecule: long non-coding RNA, 843 nt
Organism: Entelurus aequoreus (snake pipefish)
Lineage: Eukaryota; Metazoa; Chordata; Actinopteri; Syngnathiformes; Syngnathidae
Exons: 3
Source: RefSeq, a predicted model, not a curated record
UUUAGCUGUCUCCAAUGUUAGCCGCCCGGUACAUUAUUUAGUUACACCUCUAUAGGCGAGGGCGGACCUACGUCACUUCCGCUACCAAUCCCCUAGCAACCGGUCGCCAUAUUGAAUUCGUUGUAAACAAACCAGCUCACAGCGAACACAGCAUUGACAGAAAAAGCAUUUAACGAGGUUUCACGGCAUUUUAAACUGUUCUAAAUGGCGUAUGAUUAUGUAAAUAGUCUUUCCAGUGAGGCUAGGUUAAGAUACGAGUUAAAAUGUUCUGUAGUUGGAUUAAACGACUGCCCUUACCGCCUUCCAGCAGAUGCGUGGACUGAUAAUCCUACACAAUGGCCGGACAUGGAAUUUGGAAAUCUAUAUGUCUACCUCACAAGCGCACCAGUGGUUUAGUACAGGAGCAGCUCUUGCAGUCUGCAUGGAAUAGCGACGCUGGAAUUCUUCUAACCCUGGAAGUUGGACAAUACCAUCAGUGAUGAAAACCGAGAGGCGAUACAGAGGAUGCUACUGGAGGAGCAGUAUCCUUUCUUCCCAUUGAUUGAGACUUUUAUUAGUAGUGUAGGAGCCAAAUAGAGGCCAUACUUGAAUCCAUGUUUAUUUUAUUAUUUUUCAGUGAUUGAUUUGUGUAUGUCAGUGUGCACCCUUUGCAGGUGGUGAAAAGUUCCCACGCAGGCCUAUAAGGGGCAGGAGUGCGCUGGGCGCGUGAUUGACAGUCGGGCACCAGCAUACCGUCUUUGACCUCGCCUGUCUGUAGACCUCAGCUUUAUAUAAGCUACCAUUUAUUUUGUUUCCCGAGUAUUCUGUUACUUGAUUAUUGUAAAUAAAACAAUCUUCAAUUGC